Peromyscus maniculatus bairdii (prairie deer mouse) is the source of this 531-nucleotide non-coding RNA. The record is from RefSeq and is a predicted model, not a curated record. Lineage: Eukaryota; Metazoa; Chordata; Mammalia; Rodentia; Cricetidae.
CCAAUCCUGGGCUGGGUGCUCUGGCGGAAGCCACCUGCUCCAACCUCAGCUCCUCAUGUGUAAGCACGGGAAGACGAGAACACGACUCGGGGGUGUACGGAUUCAGGAAGCUAAGGACAUUAACAGGGCAAAGUCUAGAACCCAGCUUUGAACGGCCCCUGAGAGAAGAGCAAGAUAAACACAGGCCAUGGGCAGCGAUUGGGAUGGUGCACAUGGGAGGAAGGCCCUCGAGACUCAGGAGGACACAUUCAGGGCACGAUGAACACGCGUGGCUGCGGGUAGACCCCUGCAGACUAAGGACAGCUUACAGCGCUGGCAUCCACUAAGUUGUGGGGGGACAGCAAUACAGUGAAGUUUUCCUAAAAUGAAAUGUUCACUGUUUUAAAAGCUGCUCUGGGUGCCAUGAAGUAUAGCCAUCCUGAUCUUUGUUGUCUCUGAUGAAGCAAGGGUAACCAUAGAGUUCUCCUGCUAUAAUGUGAUUUUUUUUUCCCCUAAUGUCUUCACUUGACAACAUUAAAACAUCAAUUGCCC